UUAAAUAAUAAAAAAAUACUUUCAUUUUGCAGUAUUUCUCCUCAGAACGAGUUUCCAAAUGGGAAGAGAAGAGCCCUUAGUGAGCUCAAAAGCGGAGCUGAAACACAAGCAAAAGCUCAAGAAGAAAGCCAAAUCUGGUGGCUGCGAGUUGCUAAACCUCAGUCCCAAUGUCUAUUGUGGAAUUAAGAGGAAGGGCUACCGUGUCCCAACUCCUAUUCAAAGCAAGACCAUGCUUCUCAUCCUCGCCGGUUCCGACGUGGUAGCCAUGGCUCACACUGGUUCUAGUAAAACCGCGGCGUUUUUGAUCUCGAUGCUUGAGAAGCUAAAGCAGCACCAACCUCAGGAAGGUGUUAGGGCUCUCAUUUUGUCGCCUACUAGGGAUUUGGCUUUGCAGACCUUAAAGUUCACUAAAGAGCUUGGCAGGCUCACCAGUUAGUUUCAAAAUGUUUUUUCUUUGUUUUCUCAGUUCUUUGUAUUGGAGAAGAUUGUUGCUAUUUUUUAAUUUGGCAGUGCUUUUUUUAAUUUGGCAGUGCUUUUUUUAAUUUGGCAGUGCU
RNAcentral lists this unclassified non-coding RNA (554 nucleotides) under Hevea brasiliensis (rubber tree). Lineage: Eukaryota; Viridiplantae; Streptophyta; Magnoliopsida; Malpighiales; Euphorbiaceae. The record is from RNAcentral.